GUCCUCUUGAAAAUAAUUUGAGGUUUAACCUGCCCACUGAAAAAAUUUUAACGGCCGCAGUAAUUUGACUGUGCAAAGGUAGCAUAAUCAUUAGUUUUUUAAUUAAAAGCUUGUAUGAAGGGUUGGACGAGGUAAAAUCUGUCUCUAUUUAAUUUAUAAUAGAAUUUAAUUUUUAAGUUAAAAAGCUUAAAUUUUUAUAAAAGACGAGAAGACCCUAUAGAUCUUUAUAUUAUUUUUAUUAAUUUUAAUGAAGAAUUAUUUAUUAAUUAAUAAAAAUAUUAUUUUAUUGGGGUAAUAAAAAGAUUAAAUAAAUUCUUUUAUAAUUUAUACAUUGAUUAAUGAAUAAAUGAUCCAAUUAUUUUGAUUAAAAGAUUAAGUUACCUUAGGGAUAACAGCGUAAUUUUUUUAGAGAGUUCUUAUCGAUAAAAAAGUUUGCGA
This 438-nucleotide ribosomal RNA is filed under the name Thermonectus circumscriptus. RNAcentral's name for it is "partial 16S ribosomal RNA". The record is from RNAcentral. Lineage: Eukaryota; Metazoa; Arthropoda; Insecta; Coleoptera; Dytiscidae.